RNAcentral lists this non-coding RNA (273 nucleotides) under Secundilactobacillus mixtipabuli. Its description in RNAcentral is "Lactobacillus mixtipabuli T-box sequence". It matches the Rfam family "T-box leader". From Rfam's summary of the family: Uncharged tRNA acts as the effector for transcription antitermination of genes in the T-box leader family. The record is from RNAcentral. Lineage: Bacteria; Bacillati; Bacillota; Bacilli; Lactobacillales; Lactobacillaceae.
UACGAAGCAAGCGACAAGAUGAGUAAGUCUUGCGUGGCCUUAAGAGAGUUAUCGGUUGGUGAAAGAUAACGGCGGCGCAGUGCUGAAUAUGGUCUUGAUAAUCGCUCUACUGCUGAGCCAGUUGGCUAGGUGGUGGCGGGAACUCCCGUUAUAGAGUUAGGGUAUGCACUGAUAGCAGUAAGUACUGAACCGCCGUUAGUUAGUACCCGAUGAGGAAUAUUUCCGCGAGGGGUAUUCGAACUAAGGUGGCAGCACGAUUAAAUCGUCCUUUUA